AGGCCUCAACCAUGUUCUGGAACCACCCCUCUUAUGUACAGGACCACCCCCUCGUACUUAACCGAUGUGGGAUUUGCCUAAGGUGUGCUGGCCUUGCCACAUACGCCCCCCCUUGGGGACUCAGCGUCCUCGCUGAGGUUUGCCCCACCACCGGCCAGAGGAACGAGGGUCGGCUCUGAUACCAAUUGUCAUAGCCCAGCCCAUGGUCAAUAUUGUCCGCUUUGGGGCUCCAGCCCGUACGAGUACCCCCUCACGGUUUUGUUUUCAGGCAGGCUUUGCAACCCGCCCAAAAGGCCUCAACCAUGUUCUGGAACCACCCCUCUUAUGUACAGGACCACCCCCUCGUACUUAACCGAUGUGGGAUUUGCCUAAGGUGUGCUGGCCUUGCCACAUACACCCCCCCUUGGGGACUCAGCGUCCUCGCUGAGGUUUGCCCCACCACCGGCCAGAGGAACGAGGGUCGGCUCUGAUACCAAUUGUCAUAGCCCAGCCCAUGGUCAAUAUUGUCCGCUUUGGGGCUCCAGCCCGUACGAGUACCCCCUCACGGUUUUGUUUUCAGGCAGGCUUUGCAACCC
This 575-nucleotide long non-coding RNA is filed under the name Jatropha curcas. RNAcentral describes it as "long non-coding RNA (JCUR_LNC003098)". Lineage: Eukaryota; Viridiplantae; Streptophyta; Magnoliopsida; Malpighiales; Euphorbiaceae. The record is from RNAcentral.